GCCUGGCUGGCUCGGUGAGUGGAGCGUGUGACUCUUGAUCCCAGGGUUGUGGGUUCGAGCCCUGUGUUGGGUG
This 73-nucleotide transfer RNA is filed under the name Felis catus (domestic cat). It matches the Rfam family "tRNA". From Rfam's summary of the family: Transfer RNA (tRNA) molecules are approximately 80 nucleotides in length. Their secondary structure includes four short double-helical elements and three loops (D, anti-codon, and T loops). Further hydrogen bonds mediate the characteristic L-shaped molecular structure. tRNAs have two regions of fundamental functional importance: the anti-codon, which is responsible for specific mRNA codon recognition, and the 3' end, to which the tRNAs corresponding amino acid is attached (by aminoacyl-tRNA synthetases). tRNAs cope with the degeneracy of the genetic code in two manners: having more than one tRNA (with a specific anti-codon) for a particular amino acid; and 'wobble' base-pairing, i.e. permitting non-standard base-pairing at the 3rd anti-codon position. Lineage: Eukaryota; Metazoa; Chordata; Mammalia; Carnivora; Felidae. The record is from Rfam by way of RNAcentral.